This 490-nucleotide ribosomal RNA is filed under the name uncultured bacterium. RNAcentral describes it as "partial 16S ribosomal RNA". It matches the Rfam family "Bacterial small subunit ribosomal RNA", at positions 30 to 507 of the family's 1533-position model. The record is from RNAcentral.
AUUGAACGCUGGCGGCAGGCCUAACACAUGCAAGUCGAACGGUAACAGGAAGCAGCUUGCUGCUUCGCUGACGAGUGGCGGACGGGUGAGUAAUGUCUGGGAAGCUGCCUGAUGGAGGGGGAUAACUACUGGAAACGGUAGCUAAUACCGCAUAAUGUCGCAAGACCAAAGAGGGGGACCUUCUGGCCUCUUGCCAUCGGAUGUGCCCAGAUGGGAUUAGCUUGUUGGUGGGGUAACGGCUCACCAAGGCGACGAUCCCUAGCUGGUCUGAGAGGAUGACCAGCCACACUGGAACUGAGACACGGUCCAGACUCCUACGGGAGGCAGCAGUGGGGAAUAUUGCACAAUGGGCGCAAGCCUGAUGCAGCCAUGCCGCGUGUAUGAAGAAGGCCUUCGGGUUGUAAAGUACUUUCAGCGGGGAGGAAGGGAGUAAAGUUAAUACCUUUGCUCAUUGACGUUACCCGCAGAAGAAGCACCGGCUAACUCCGUG